This 1437-nucleotide ribosomal RNA is filed under the name uncultured bacterium. RNAcentral's name for it is "bacterial SSU rRNA". It matches the Rfam family "Bacterial small subunit ribosomal RNA". The record is from RNAcentral.
AAUGAACGCUGGCGGUGUGCCUAAUACAUGCAUGUUGAACGAAGCACUUGUGCUUAGUAGCGAAUGGGUGAGUAACACGUACUUAAUCUGCCUUUUAGAUUGGAAUAACCUUGGGAAACUGAGGCUAAUACCGAAUAUGAAAUUUAUACAUAUGUAUUUAUUUUGAAAGGGGCGUAUGCCUUGCUAAGAGAUGAGAGUGCGGGACAUUAGUUAGUUGGUAGGGUAAUGGCCUACCAAGACAAUGAUGUCUAGCCGAGCUGAGAGGUUGAUCGGCCACACUGGGACUGAGAUACGGCCCAGACUCCUACGGGAGGCGGCAGUAGGGAAUUUUCCACAAUGGGCGAAAGCCUGAUGGAGCAACACCGCGUGCAGGAUGAAGGUCUUCGGAUUGUAAACUGCUGUUAUAAGAGAAGAAAAAAUAGUGUAGGAAAUGACAUUAUCUUGACGGUAUCUUAUCAGAAAGCGACGGCUAACAAUGUGCCAGCAGCCGCGGUAAUACAUUGGUCGCAAGCGUUAUUCGGAAUUAUUGGGCGUAAAGCAUAUGUAGGUGGCUUGUAAAGUCUGAAGUUAAAGCCCGGAGCUCAACUCCGGUCCGCUUUGGAAACUUGCAAACUAGAGUUAUUGAGAGGUUAAUGGAACUCCAUGUGAAGCGGUGGAAUGCGUAGAUAUAUGGAAGAACACCAGUGGCGAAGGCGAUUAACUGGCAAUAUACUGACACUCAGAUAUGAAAGCGUGGGGAGCAAAUAGGAUUAGAUACCCUAGUAGUCCACGCCGUAAACGAUGAUCAUUAGGCGCUGGAGAAUUCAGUGCCGCAGCUAACGCGUUAAAUGAUCCGCCUGAGUAGUAUGCUCGCAAGAGUGAAACUUAAAGGAAUUGACGGGGACCCGCACAAGCGGUGGAGCAUGUGGUUUAAUUUGAAGAUACGCGAAGAACCUCACCUACACUUGACAUCCUCGGCAAAGCUAUAGAGAUAUAGUGGAGGUUAACCGAGUGACAGAUGGUGCAUGGUUGUCGUCAGCUCGUGUCGUGAGAUGUUUGGUUAAGUCCAGCAACGAGCGCAACCCCUGUCCUUAGUUACUAACAUUUAGUUGAGAACUCUAGGGAGACUGCCUGGGUAACCAGGAGGAAGGUGGGGAUGACGUCAAAUCAUCAUGCCUCUUACGUGUAGGGCUAUACACGUGCUACAAUGGCAAGUACAAUAGGACGCAAUACGGCGACGUGGAGCAAAUCCAAAAAACUUGUCUCAGUUCGGAUUGGAGUCUGCAACUUGACUCCAUGAAGUUGGAAUCGCUAGUAAUCGUAGGUCAGCAAUACUACGGUGAAUACGUUCUCGGGUCUUGUACACACCGCCCGUCACACCAUGGGAGCUGGUAAUGCCCAAAGAUGGAUAGUUAACUUCGGAUGCUACUGUUUAAGGUAGGACUGGUGACUGGGGUG